GACGAACGCUGGCGGCGUGCUUAACACAUGCAAGUCGAACGCUGAAGCUUGGUGCUUGCACUGGGUGGAUGAGUGGCGAACGGGUGAGUAAUACGUGAGUAACCUGCCCUUGACUCUGGGAUAAGCCUGGGAAACUGGGUCUAAUACUGGAUAUGACAUGCCACUGCAUGGUGGUGUGUGGAAAGGGUUUUACUGGUUUUGGAUGGGCUCACGGCCUAUCAGCUUGUUGGUGGGGUAAUGGCCUACCAAGGCGACGACGGGUAGCCGGCCUGAGAGGGUGACCGGCCACACUGGGACUGAGACACGGCCCAGACUCCUACGGGAGGCAGCAGUGGGGAAUAUUGCACAAUGGGCGGAAGCCUGAUGCAGCGACGCCGCGUGAGGGAUGACGGCCUUCGGGUUGUAAACCUCUUUCAGCACGGAAGAAGCGAGAGUGACGGUACGUGCAGAAGAAGCGCCGGCUAACUACGU
This 471-nucleotide ribosomal RNA is filed under the name uncultured bacterium. RNAcentral's name for it is "partial 16S ribosomal RNA". It matches the Rfam family "Bacterial small subunit ribosomal RNA", at positions 28 to 506 of the family's 1533-position model. The record is from RNAcentral.